CAUCUACUGAUGGACAUUUAGGUUGUUUCCAUGUUUUGACUAUUGUGCAUAGUGCUGCCAUGAACAGUGGGGUGCAUGAUCUUUUCAGAUUAUGGUUUUCUCCAGGCAUGUGUCUAGGAGUGAGAUUGCUAGAUUGUAUGGUAACUAUGUAUGCGUGUGAGUUUUUUUAAUGACUCUCUCCUCCAUGGUGUGACCUGGUUUCCCACACACUCAGCUCAGUCCCAUUGCUUUUGCAGCUCUGAGAAGGCAUGGGUGUUUAUUUGGGUGCAUCCUGAGGUGCUGCAUGCUCUUGGGUCAUUAAGCUUGGUGACAGUGACCUUUAGUAAGGCGGUAAAGCAGGUCAUGCGUAACUCAGCCUUGACUCAAAGGGAUUUUAAAUUUUAUCUUAUUAAACAGCACAUUAACAAAAAGAGUCAAUUAUUUUUUGAAGGACNCUAAGAAACGAGAACAAACAAAUUUUAUCUUUACCAUUUCUUUUCAGGUGGGGAGUGCGGAGAUGUAAACUUACUGUUGUAAUGCAGUUUAAUAAGUGUUUUGAGAAGGUAGGACAGGAUGUGUAGGGACACUGGAGAGAAGUAUUCACCACAAAGACUUGGUACAUAGCAAGUGUUCAACGAAAGCUUUUUAAACUAAAUUAUGAAUGCCUGAAGUUUCCGUUGUGGCUCAGUGGGUUAGGAACCCUACAGAGUCUUUGUGAGGAUGUGGGUUCGAUCCCUGACCUUGCUCAGUGGGUUAAGGAUCUGUAGUUGCUACAAGCUGCAGCGUGGUUCGCAGAUGCAGCUUGGAUCUGGUGUUGCUGUGGCUGUGGCACAAACCAGCAGCUGUAGCCUGGGAAUUUCCAUAUGCUACAGGUGCGGCCGUAAAAAAGAAAAAAAAUCACGAAUGCCUUACUUUGUUCUACAAGAUUUCAAAAUUACUUCAUUAGCUUAUUCAUGUAACAAAUAUUUACUCGGUACCUACUAUGUGAUAAGCUCUGUUCUGAAAAUAUGGAAAACAGCUUCAAACAAGAGAGCCCCAAAUAAUUCUUAAGCAAAUUCAUAAAUGUAAAAUACCUUAUUAAUACAUUUGUUUCAUAGACAUUUGUUAAAUGCCUACUAACAAUUUCAGGCACAGUUCUAAAAAUAUUACAUAUUCUCUAAGGCAAUUGGUAAAAAUUAUCUAGCACUGAUAUUAUUUGGGAAGAGAAUUUUAGGCACACAAUUUUAAUAAAUCUGGUAGAUUUUAGAUAAGUGAAUAUGAGGCAGACUGCCCUGGGGGAAUCUUUCAAGGAGAUGAUCAGAAGCCCCUUCCAUAAUCCUUGUAUUCUGUCUACUUUGAAAAUAUAAAAGGUUUUAGAGGCGCUCCCAUUGUGAUGCAGCAGGUUAAGAACACAACUAGUGUCCAUGAAGAUGCAGGUCUGAUCCCUGGCCUUGCUCAGAGGGUUAAGUAUCAGGCGUUGCUGCAAGCUGCAGUGUAGGUGGCAGAUGUGGCUCGGGUCUGGUGUUGCUGUUGCUGUGGUGUAGGCUGGCAGCUGCAGCUCCAAUUGGACCCCUAGCCUGGAAACUUCCAUAUGUAGCAGGUGGGGCCCUAAAAAGAAAAAAAAGGUUUAUGGAAAUGGAGAGAAAGAAUGAUGGGUGGUUGUCUUUGCGGUGAGUUUCUCAGUGUGAAUGCCAGUCCUUUCCCCUGCUGAGAGUGAAGGGUUCAGGGUGCUGCAUCUUUCUCAUGCUUGGAGGGCUUUAAUGGGACUACUUAUAAAAUUUCAGCUCUGCUCCCCAAAGUUGGGGAACACCAAGAACUGACAUGUGCUAACACCUCAGAAAAGCUAUAGCAACUGAAUAAAUCCAGUAUUGCGUGUCUUGGGCAUAACAGUUCUAAAGAAUUUUAUUUUAUGUAUCAGAAUAAAAUAUGUGUAUGUCUAUUCAGAAUAUGUAUCAGAAUAGUGUACAAUGCCAUGUAAUGCAAAAAGAAGAAUCUACAUAAAUAAUGCAGCCAACCAUCCAAGCAUUAUACCAGCUAAAACAAUAAAAAACCUUAACAGUGAGAAAAAAACCUCUGCAGCAUGUGGAACUUUCCCAGCCAGCAUUGAACCCACACCACAGCAGCAACCUAAGCUGCUGCAGUGACAAUGCGGUAUUCUUGACCUGCUGAGGCACAAAGGAACUACUUUUUUGGGGGGAGGGGCUUGGGAGGUAACCAAAUGGAAGAAGAACUAGAAGAACAUGUUUCAUGGACCCGAUAGCGACAAGGCCAGCCGGGAGCCCUUUCACAUCUUGCCCAGGGGGGCUGCCUGGGAGCGCCUUUAGGCUCAAAUACCAUGACAGGGGUGAUGCUCAUGCCCAAGAAAGCUAGGGCGGGAGGAGGCAGCCAGUUGAAGAAGAGGAAUUGUCCAUGUCACAGCAGUUUCGUUGGAGGGUCCAUCAGAGGAGCUCCCAAACGACUUUCAAAGCACCCGCAGGGAAGGUUGCUGCCAUGCAUUUGCCGGGUGCAGAGAGCAUGAAGACAUUCACACCCACAGAACUCCCCUCCUCCUCCUCUUCUCCUUUGCAGCCCAUUCCCUUUGACUUCUAUGAGGUGUGGAGCAGCAGUAGCGAGUAGGAGAAAAAAGGCAAGAUAAAGAGGAUAGAAGCCAAAUAUACCAAGGACAGCUGCCCACUUCGCCUUUAGCAGGGGUGAGGAUGGGAGACGGAAUCCAGCCUUGGAUGAAGAGUGACAUGAAAAUAGUGCUUUGGGAAGACAGUCACUGAAUUGAGAUUGUGUUUACUGACUUAAUAAGGUAGAACUCUGAGUGAAAUGAAAGGUCAUUGUUCCAGACAUUGUUUCAUUUUCCUACUCUGAAAAUAUUUGAAGAAAGUCUUAAGAGGCAAAACAAAACAAAACAAAAAAAA
This 2864-nucleotide long non-coding RNA is filed under the name Sus scrofa (pig). RNAcentral describes it as "lncRNA (ENSSSCG00040014280.1)". Lineage: Eukaryota; Metazoa; Chordata; Mammalia; Artiodactyla; Suidae. The record is from RNAcentral.